This is a non-coding RNA of Caenorhabditis elegans, 197 nucleotides long. The record is from Ensembl. Lineage: Eukaryota; Metazoa; Nematoda; Chromadorea; Rhabditida; Rhabditidae.
AUUUUAUCACCUGGAUUCUUGAAUCAUUAACAACAACCCCCUCAAUUUGCAAUAGGAUCCAAAAAAUUAUAACGAAUCGACAGAAUAUCAAACACAUCGUCGUAAUUUGAAAAAUACAAAAUAAUCACAAACACGUGUUUUCCAUCUCCCUCGUCACAUUUUUACGUUUUUUUUCAAUGAUACUAGUUCAGUUCACG